UUAAAUCUAAUUUUGAUUAUUGUAUCAACUUAUUAAUUAAUCUAAUUAAUAUAUUUAAGUCAUUAUCUAUUGUAUAAAUUGUUGUGUAAUUAAUUAAUUUAUUAUUUAUGGUACAUUAGCUCAUUAAAAAUUAAUUAUUUAAUGUGUUUAUCUAAUAACUAAUAUUUAUAUGGAUCAACUAAUUUAAUUAAUUGUUAACAAAUUAUCUAACUAAUUAAAUAAUUUACUAAUUAAUUAAAAAGUUAAGUUAUAUUUUAUAAUUUAUUAAAUAAUUACUUAAUAUGAUUAUUUAGUUAAUAUAUAUUUUCAUUACCUUUUACAAUAUUCUUAGCUAAUAAAUUUUUAAAUUUAUUAAAUUAUUUUUAAUUAAUAUUUAAUAUUAAAUAAUUUGAUAAAAUAUUAUUAAUUUAAAAUUAUAAUUAUUUUUAUUCCCACUAGUUAUUCCAAUCUAAUCAUAUAAAUACUAUUUACUUUAUUUUUAAAAAUAAUUAAAUUUUUAUCUAAAUAAAAUUUUACUCUAGAAUACCUAUUUUUGAAAUAAGCUGUUCUUAUUUACAUACAUGAACAUACAUGGGCAGACGAUGAAUAUUCGCGAGUAUGAAAUAAAUAAAAUAUACUAUUAUCACUACAACAAAAUUAGGUUAUAGGGACACAUGUUUGGGACACUUUUGAAUAAGUGUCCCAUUUAUACUAAAACUUAAAAAAAUAUCUACUAAUGCCUAAAUAUAAAGCCCAAUCCAACCAAAAAUAAAAAAUUACUCUACUCAACCCACCACAUCCAGUCCAUUUGACCCGAUUACAAACAGAAAAAAAAAAAGAAAAAUCAAUUACCAUCUUUUCUUCUUUCUUCACUCAAUCCACCGAAAUUCUAUACGAAGAGCCUUUCCUGUCGUCCUCCUCCGCCACCGCAGCCAACAAGAUAGAGUUUCGGCGUUUGCUAAAUACUUAAAUAAGUGUUGGUAAAUUAGCAACAUUUUUUUAGGUUAUAGCGACACUCUUUAACUGUCACUAUAUACCUAGCAACCCCACAUAUAGCAACACUUUUUAAAGUGUCGGUAAUUUUAGCUAGUAGUAUUUUUUUGACAUGUACCUAUAUUUAAAAGUAUCGCUAUAAACCGUUUUUGUUGUAGUUUAUUAUCUUAUAUAAAGGGCGUACUUGGAGUGGAUUUACAGCAUGCAUGGCCCAUGUGCUCCUCUCAUUCGACACGUCAUCGAAACCCUCCACUUUUCUCUCAGAUUAUACUCUAGAAUUUCUAUCUCUGAAAUAAACAAUUUUUAUUUAUAUCUGAACCAAAUGAAGCAUUAAACUUUAUACAUGAACAAACGAUGAAUAUUGACGAGUACGAAAUAAAUAGGUAUAUUAUUAUUAUUUAUAUGGAUUUGCAGCAUGGCCCACGUGCUCCUCGUUCGACACGUCGAUAACGCGACAAAACCCUCAAUUUUUCUCUCUGAUUAAGAGGGGAUGCAUACCAAGCAUGCAUCCUUUUUAUUUCCCCACCCCUACACAUGAUCUCUCUCAUUGCAUGCACGUCCAUUGGUCCACCGCCUUAGCUUAUUGAAUGUAAGUAACAAAACCUACUAGUAUAGGACCUGCGCUUUGCGACGAAUAGAUAGUAUUUUAAUCGUUGAAAGGAGAAGAGUGUUGCAGCGAAUUAAACUAAAAAUUUUAUUAAAUAUUUUUAAACUAAAUUUUGGUAGUGUAUUAUUUUCCACAUAUUUACAAUAGUCUAUAUAUAAGAACAAAUCAAAAAAUCCUAAUAGCAAUAAUUGAAUAAAGAUUUAAACUUAUCUCUUAUGUUUAACCAAUAAAAUAUUAAGAGAUAAACUUGAUAGAAAUGAAUGUGAACUUAUCAAAAAUGUUUGGUUACUUAUCAACAUUAACCAAUUAACAUGUACAUGUUUAUUAAAAUUUUAAUUUUAAAAAAUUAUAGCUAAAAAAAUGUAUGUACAUUAUAAAAAAUAAUUUUUUAUUAAUAAUUUUUUAUUUUUAAUAUUUAUGCAGUUAAAUUAUUCUAAUAACUUUAUUUUAAAAUUUUAAUUAAAUUUAAUGGUUUUGAUAGCUAUUUUAUAAAAAAAAAAUUUUAACUAAAAAGUUAAAGUUGGAGGACUUAUAUUAGAUGAUUUUAUCUUAUUAAAACUAAACUUUAUUUAUGUUAAAGUCAAAUUAAAAAAUAUAUGCGGAUGUCUUAUAUACCGAAUGUACAGCUUUUUAUGCACUGUAUUUAUAAAAUUUUGUUAUAAAAGUAAAAAUCUAUUAAUUUUGUAUCUAGAUUUUUUACAUAUUAUAAAUUAUAUUUAUCAGAUAAAAUUUUAAUUUUAUUAUAUUAAUUAUUAAAACAUAGCGUUGGAUCAUAUGAUGAAUUUUUAGAGAAACGAAAAAAGUGGGCUCUACUGAUUUGCCGCAAUACCAAGUGAAUAAUUUUUUUUGCACCGUAUUUAUAAUAUUUUAUUAUAAAUAUUAAAAUAUAUUAAUUUUUGUAUUUAUAUUGUUUUAUAUAUUAUAAAUUGUAUUUAUCACAUAAUUUUUUAAUUUUAUUAUAUUAAUUAUUUAAAAAUAAAUUUGAUUUAUAUGAUAAAAUUUUACACCUGAUGUAUGCUAAAACAAAAUAGAAAGUGUUGGUUCACAUGAAUGAGAGAGAGAGGACAGAAAAAAGUAGGGUCCACCGAUUUGUCCCAAAACCGGAGAGCAUGGUUUUACACUUUUCGGAUUCCCCUUUUAUGUUUUCAGAGAAUAAUGAUUAUUUUAUAUUAUUUAAUUUAAUAUAUAAUAUAUAAUAUUAAAGCAGGAGAUAUUAUAAGUUUGAAUAUUGUUAGGCUCUUAGUCUCAUAUUGUUUAAUUUUUUUUAUUUAAUUCAUGUCUAUGUCUCAAAUCUAUAAAAAAAAUUUUAAAGUCCAAACAUGUAGGAGAGUGUUGAAUGUGAAAAAAGAAUAAAAAUAUGCAGAAUUUAUCUGAAUUAUGGAUCAUUUUGAGUUGACUAUUUAAUCUUUCGAAAUUUUGAUUUUAUCGUUCAAUCUUUAAAUUUCUUUGAUUUCGGUCGGUAAACGAUUUUUUAACUUCAAAAUUUGAAUGUUUCGUUUAUCUUUAUAAAUUUAGUUAGCAUACUUCACGCAAUUAUCGCAACUGUAAAUUUAUUAAAAUAAAUAAUUAGCUUAAAUUUUGAAGUCAAAAUUCUAUAUACUGAUUCAAAUCAAACAAAUUGACAGGUUGGAUAAGAAAAAUUUUGGAUAAUCAACUCAAAAUGAUUCAUAGUUCAGAAAAGUUUUGUAUGUUUUUACUAAUAAUAAAAAUACUAUAUUUUCUGAUAGUUUAAUUUUUUUUUAGGAAUUAAUGAUUAUUUUAUUUUUUUAAGAAUUAAUGAUUAUUUUAUAUAAUUUAAUAGUAGCUUGGGAAUAUACUAUACUAUCACCAUUCACCCAAUAAAUUAACGUUUUCCAUGAUUUAAAUAUUAUUAUUUUUUUAAGACUAACUGAGAUUCUAAAUAGGGAAUUUUGUAAAGUUAGAAAAAUUUUGGUUCACAGAUGACAACAUGGUGGAAGAUGUAUAGAGAAUACUAUCUCUUCUCAUGUGUUUCUGGUGAAAUUGUUGCCUACUUGGUGUAUAGUACAUGUUGGUACAACUUAUACAAUAUAUACACCUUAAUUAAAUACUAAAAUAGAGGACUCAAAGUUCUAAAUCUAACUCAAUUGAAUAUUUUUAUGCAAUAUUAAAAAUCUUACAUGUUAGAUAUUUGUUUUUCAUUUUUACAAAUCAAAUAAUGCUCCUAUCUCUGCUGUUAAUUUUGAUUAAUGUAUAGUUAAUCAAAAAAUUUUGAAUUUUGAAUAUAGCUAAUAUAACAACAAUUUAAGAUCAGAUCAUAUAUAUCUCGAUCAUUAAUCUAAACUUUAAGACUAAAUUAUACGUCUCAGAUGUUCAGCUCAAGUAAAAAAUUCUUAAAAUCUCGUGCUUUUUAGUACUCAAUAUAUAUUGGUAUAUAACCUUGUAAAAGUCCUUUUGUAUUUUAUAGAUGUAUAAAAAAAAAAAGUUAAUUAGGCUCUUCAAAAUUUUUUGCAUGUAGCUAGACUCCUCGAGUAAGUUUUCUUUUCUUCUUCUUUAUUUUUUUAUAAUAACAUAUCAUAUAUUAUUAUUAUUAUUACUAUUACUACUACUAUUAUUAUAAUUAUUGUUAUCGUGCAUGUAACUACACAAAUAUAUGGCGUAGUGACAAAGACCAAUUUAGGGUUAUAUGUUUUGAAGAAACACGAUCCAACCAAACUGAAUCGAAAUUUCGUUGAGUUCAGUAAUUCUUGUAAUUAGCGCGAUAAAUUUUUAAAUAGUCAUAACCUUUUCGCUAGCUUGAGUAUAUAUCUGAUUUUAACGUGCAAUCUCAAUUCGAAAUAUACUUUCGAGAUCUACGCAUCAAAUGGCCUUAGCCACUUUGGCUGAGUUUGAGACCCAAAUUCAAUUGUUUCGAUCUCUGUUUUUAUAUUCUUAGUUUAUUUUUGAAAAAUUCUGCAUUUUUUUUUACUUUUAUAUGAUCAUUUAAUUAUUUUUUAAUCUAAUUAGGUUUAGAGAUAUAUUGGAAUUUAUUAUUUUCGUCUAGUAAGAUUCAAAAUUUAUUUUUUAUAAUACAUAAACGUGACGUUCGGUUAAUGUAAUUAGAGAUUUUGAAAGUUGAUUAAUAAUAUCUUAUCUUUGUCGAAAAUUUGAUUUUUCAUGUAUCAUCUCUUUCCGUCUGUUUUUUUUCUCUCUCAACGCAGCUUUAGGUGUGCAUCUGUUAAAGUUAAAUUAGUAUCAUUCAUGCUAUUUGACUUGGCCACCCAGUUGUUUGAAGAAUCAAAAUACAUUCUCGGACGUCAACUUACAAGUCAAAAAUCGAUUCAACAAAAAAACAAAGAAAAAAAAAAAAAACUUUAAGAGCCUGUUUGGAUGCACAAUAAAAAAUCUCCAUGGAAUUUAUAAACUGUGGUUUUGGUCCAAAUGAAGUAAGAAAUCCUGUAAUUCUAAAAAAGUCCACUGAUUCAAUUUUUAAAAUUUAAAAUUUAAAUAAAAUUUAAAAUUUGAUAUGUGAAAUGUGAAAUUUUAAAUUUUAAAUUCUAAAUUUUAAAAUUUGAAAAUUAAAAUUUUAAAAUAUAAAAAUCUAAAUUUAAUUUUAAAAUUUUAAAAUUUUAAAUUUUAAAAUAAAAAAUUUUAAAUUUUAAAUUGAGAAUUUAGAAUUUUAAUUUUUAAAAAUAAAUUUAAAAUUUAAAGUUCAAAAUUUGAAAUUUAAACUAUGAGAUUUGAGAUUUGAAAUUUAAAAUUUAUAAUUUAUAAUUUAAAAUUUAAAAUUUAAAAUUUAUUAAUUUAAAAUUUAAAAUUUAAGAUUUAUUAAUUUAAAAUUUAAAAUUUAUUAAUUUAAAAUUUAAAAUUUAAAAGUUAAAAGUUAAAAUUUGAAAAUUAAAAUUUAAAAUUCAAAAAUUACGUUAUUUGUUUUAAUAUAGUUUAACUAUACUCCAAAAAUUACGUGUUUUUUUUUUUUUCCAAUCUCUUUAUAGGAUAAUUUUUCCUACCGGUGUAGUAUAGUUUAACUAUGCUACGUUUUUAGGGAUAUCCAAACGGGGUCUUGGUAGUUAAUGAUUGUUUAUUUGUAUAAUUUUAGGAUGCUUAUUACUCUUUAAUUACUGCUUAUGGCAACCAUCUCUAAGGCACACUAAUCAAUUAAAUACAAACAAAACAUUUUAGGACAAGAACAAAAGUUUCAAUGUCUCCCACUCUAGAUCAACAAGGAAAGGGACUUCAAACUAAUGUCUCACACUCUAGAUCAACUAGGAAAGGGACUUCAAACUAAUGUCUCCCACUCUAGAUCAACAAGGAAAGGGACUUCAAACUAAAACAAAGACCAAGAUAAGCUAAUUCAUUAUUGGAGUGCAAGUCAAUUGCUGGCUGGUGUUCAACUGUUCCACUUGGGCUUUAUUUGGAAAUGCCGCAGCGCGUGCAAGAAUCAAAAAUCGAUCGGUCAAACUGCUCGUACAGUUGAUAAAAAUACUAUAUUUUAUGCUAACGAUAGUAAAUUCUUGAUAAAAGUUGUUGAUGUAUAUAUGUUUUGUACUAAUCUUGCCAAUUUAACAUUAGAGUUUUUGAAAAAACGUGACUUAGCCAAGUUGAGUCGAAAAUUACGAUGAAUUUGAUAAUUUUUACAAUAAGUGUGAAAAGUCUUUAAAUGGUUUUCGUGUAUCUCUUUUUUUCCGUCCUUAUGCUUCUUCCCUCUCAACACGAUUUAGGUCUGCGUCAUGCACUACAACAGAAUUAGGUUAUAGGGAUACAUGUUUGGGACACUUUUGAGUAAGUGUCCCAUUUAUACUAAAACUUAAAAAAAUAUCUACUUAUGCCUAAAUAUAAAGCCCAAUCUAACCAAAAAUAAGAGAUUACUCUACUCAACCCACCACACCCAGUCCAUUUGAGCCGAUUACAAAUAGAAAAGAAAAAAAAAGAAAAAUAAAUUACCAUUUUUUCUUCUCUCUUCACUCAAUCCACUGAAAUUUUAGACGAAGAGCCUUUCUUGUCGUCCUCCUCCGCCACCGCAGCCAACGAGAUAGAGUUUCGGCGGUUGCUAAAUGCUUAAAUAAGUGUUGGUAAAUUAGCAGCACUCUUUUAGGUUAUAGCGACACUCUUUUACUGUCACUAUAUACCUAGCGACCCCACAUAUAGCAACACUUUUUAAAAGUGUCGGUAAUUUUAGCUAGCAGCACUUUUUUGACUUGUACCUACAUUUAAAAGUGUCGCUAUAGACCGUUUUUGUUGUAGUGGAUAUGUACGCAUUCUAAAUUAAAAAAAUUAUAAUUUC
This 6800-nucleotide long non-coding RNA is filed under the name Ananas comosus (pineapple). RNAcentral's name for it is "long non-coding RNA (ACOM_LNC019152)". The record is from RNAcentral. Lineage: Eukaryota; Viridiplantae; Streptophyta; Magnoliopsida; Poales; Bromeliaceae.